This 911-nucleotide ribosomal RNA is filed under the name methanogenic prokaryote enrichment culture B31_1_30. RNAcentral describes it as "bacterial SSU rRNA". It matches the Rfam family "Bacterial small subunit ribosomal RNA", at positions 8 to 916 of the family's 1533-position model. The record is from RNAcentral.
AGAGUUUGAUCAUGGCUCAGGAUGAACGCUAGCGGCAGGCUUAACACAUGCAAGUCGAGGGGGCAUCACGAGUAGCAAUACUUGGUGGCGACCGGCGCAAGGGUGCGUAACGCGUGAGCAACAUGCCCGUAUCAGGGGGAUAAUCCAGGGAAACUUGGUCUAAUACCCCAUAGCAAUUGAAGGAGGCAUCUUCUUUGAUUUAAAGCUUUGGUGGAUACGGAUUGGCUCGCGUGACAUUAGCUAGAUGGUAAGGUAACGGCUUACCAUGGCUACGAUGUCUAGGGGUUCUGAGAGGAAGGUCCCCCACACUGGAACUGAGACACGGUCCAGACUCCUACGGGAGGCAGCAGUGAGGAAUAUUGGACAAUGGAUGGAAAUCUGAUCCAGCCAUGCCGCGUGCAGGAAGACGGCCCUAUGGGUUGUAAACUGCUUUUAUAUGGGAGCAAUAAGACCUACGUGUAGGUCGAUGAGAGUACCAUAUGAAUAAGCACCGGCUAACUCCGUGCCAGCAGCCGCGGUAAUACGGAGGGUGCAAGCGUUAUCCGGAUUUAUUGGGUUUAAAGGGUGCGUAGGCGGUUUGAUAAGUCAGCGGUGAAAUAUUUCAGCUUAACUGGAAGGGUGCCGUUGAUACUGUCGAGCUUGAAUUUAGUUGCUGUGGGUGGAAUGUGUGGUGUAGCGGUGAAAUGCAUAGAUAUCACACAGAAUAUCGAUUGCGAAGGCAGCUCACAAAGCUAAUAUUGACGCUGAUGCACGAAAGUGUGGGGAUCAAACAGGAUUAGAUACCCUGGUAGUCCACACUGUAAACGAUGAUAACUCGCUGUCGGCGAUACACAGUCGGUGGCCAAGCGAAAGCGAUAAGUUAUCCACCUGGGGAGUACGACCGCAAGGUUGAAACUCAAAGGAAUUGACGG